CAAAAGUAAAGAGCUUUAAGAGACAAGCCGAGGAUGCAGAGGAGCAGGCCAACUGCAAUAUGUCUCGGUUCAAGAAGAUCCAGCAUGAGCUGGAUGAAGCCGAGGAGAGGGCAGAUAUAGCCGAAUCUCAGGUCAACAAGCUACGUGUGCGCACCCGAGAGACUCACGUCGUCAAGAUCGUGGAGUGAAGACUGACUUAAGCCAGAUGACUUUUAAGAGUCAUGUAUCGUGUGACAAGUACCUUUCCUUUCUUUUUGGUCUUUGUAUGAUGCUGCGAAGGCACAAAGGUUUUGGAAAUGUUUAAUGCUUACUGAAGGCCAAUGCAAACUGAUUUUUCUUGUUGUGAUUGAAGAUUUCAAAGAUAAAAUGCUGAUUUUCAAAUGUCAAACAGUAGUCUUGAAAAGUUUUUUGUUUAAGUGUUUGUUCAUAUGUCCUUCUUGGAAAGGUCUCAGACUGCUGAGCUCAUAAUUUGCAAUGUUUUGGAAAAUCAGUGUCAUUACAGUACAGCUGAAGAGCAGCACGAGGAAACAGCUGCGUGCCUCUCGUACCUUUCUGUAACAGCUGAUCUGAAACUGGACUGAGUUUAAGGACCCACAGGGUAUUUGAAAAGCUAUUUGGACAUGAUAAAUAAACAGCGCCUAAAUGGAAAUGUUUCUUUGAUCAUGUCAA
This is a long non-coding RNA of Sinocyclocheilus grahami, 669 nucleotides long. RefSeq lists it as uncharacterized. NCBI's taxonomy places the organism in Eukaryota, Metazoa, Chordata, Actinopteri, Cypriniformes, Cyprinidae. The transcript has 3 exons. The record is from RefSeq and is a predicted model, not a curated record.